This 761-nucleotide ribosomal RNA is filed under the name Prochloron sp. PLV2. Its description in RNAcentral is "bacterial SSU rRNA". It matches the Rfam family "Bacterial small subunit ribosomal RNA", at positions 28 to 833 of the family's 1533-position model. Lineage: Bacteria; Bacillati; Cyanobacteriota; Cyanophyceae; Chroococcales; Prochloraceae. The record is from RNAcentral.
GAUGAACGCUGGCGGUAUGCUUAACACAUGCAAGUCGAACGAACUCUUCGGAGUGAGUGGCGGACGGGUGAGUAACGCGUGAGAAUCUACCUCAAGGACGGGGACAACAGCAGGAAACUGGUGCUAAUACCCGAUAGCGCUGAAAAGUGAAAGAUUUAUUACCUAGAGAGGAGCUCGCGUCCGAUUAGCUAGUUGGAAGGGUAAAAGCCUACCAAGGCGACGAUCGGUAGCUGGUCUGAGAGGAUGAGCAGCCACACUGGGACUGAGACACGGCCCAGACUCCUACGGGAGGCAGCAGUGGGGAAUUUUCCGCAAUGGGCGAAAGCCUGACGGAGCAAUACCGCGUGAGGGAAGAAGGCUUUUGGGUUGUAAACCUCUUUUGUCAGGGAAGAAAAAAUGACGGUACCUGAAGAAAAAGCAUCGGCUAACUCCGUGCCAGCAGCCGCGGUAAUACGGAGGAUGCAAGCGUUAUCCGGAAUCAUUGGGCGUAAAGGGUCCGCAGGUGGCGAAUAAAGUCUGCUGUUAAAGACCGGGGCUAAACUCCGGAAAGGCAGUGGAAACUGAUUAGCUAGAGUACGGUAGGGGUAGAGGGAAUUCCCAGUGUAGCGGUGAAAUGCGUAGAUAUUGGGAAGAACACCGGUGGCGAAAGCGCUCUACUAGGCCGAAACUGACACUGAGGGACGAAAGCUAGGGUAGCGAAAGGGAUUAGAUACCCCUGUAGUCUUAGCUGUAAACGAUGGAUACUAGGUGUAGCUUGUAUC